RNAcentral lists this transfer RNA (40 nucleotides) under Agrostis capillaris (colonial bentgrass). RNAcentral describes it as "partial tRNA-Lys". The record is from RNAcentral. Lineage: Eukaryota; Viridiplantae; Streptophyta; Magnoliopsida; Poales; Poaceae.
UGGGGUUGCUAACUCAACGGUAGAGUACUCGGCUUUUAAG